GUGAUUUUUUGGCCCAUCGAGGGCCCUAGGGUUGUUUUAUCGUAGGAACCAAUGCAAGUUUGGCUGAAUUUGGCCGAAAACGGUCAACUCGAGGUGGAAAGCCGCCGCAGGCGGCUGUGCUUUCGCCGAAGCACGGCGGAGCCGUCGUGUCAGAAUUUCGAUAUUGGCCGAAAAAGGUCCUUGGGUCUGAUUUGGGGUUUUUUGGGACACGUGCAGGUACCAGUAGUGCGUUUCAAUU
Molecule: long non-coding RNA, 238 nt
Filed under: Carica papaya (papaya)
Lineage: Eukaryota; Viridiplantae; Streptophyta; Magnoliopsida; Brassicales; Caricaceae
Description: long non-coding RNA (CPAP_LNC008576)
Source: RNAcentral